GAAUAUUGGUCAAUGGCCUAACGGCUGAACCAGCAACUUGGAAGAAUGAAUGGCAAUAGCCAAUUGUAUUAAUAAUAUUUUUUACAAUAUCGACUCUGUCGAAUAAAAUUCCAGAUAAAUUUAUGAUGAUGACAUUAUUUAUCUGUGAGUCUUGACUAAAUUACGUGCCAGCAGUCGCGGUAAGACGUAGAAGACUAGUGUUAUUCAUCUUUAAUAGGUUUAAAGUGUACCCAGGCGGUUGAUAUAGCCUAAACAAGGUACUAUGUUUAACUAGAGUUAUAUAUGUAAUGGCGCAAGAAGGUACUGUUGAGUGUAGAGAUGAAAUUCUGUCAUACCAGAUGAGUGGCACAGGUAUAGGCGAAAGCAUCGCUUUAUGUAAUAACUGACGUUGGCGGACGAAGGCUUAAAUAACGAACAGGAUUAGGUACCCCAGUAGUCUUUGCAGAUAAUGAUGAAUGUCAUAGGUUAAAAUAAUAUUUUGUCUAUAAAUGAAAGUGUAAGCAUUCCACCUCAAGAGUAAUUUGGCAACAUUGGAAUUGAAAUCAUUAGACCGUUUCUGAAACCAGUAGUGAAGUAUGUUGUUUAAUUAGACGACCCGCAAAAAACCUUACCACAAUUUGAAUAUUAAUAAUAAUUUUUACAAGCGUUGCACGGCUGUCUUCAGUUAAUAUCGUGAGAUUUUGGUUAGUUCCAUAUAAUUAACGUAAACCCUUACUUUAUUUUUAAAUAAAGUAGUUCACCGCUAUAUUGGAUAUGAUAAUAGGGACUAAGACAAGUCAUCAUGGCCUUAAUAUUGUGGGCUAUAGACG
RNAcentral lists this ribosomal RNA (809 nucleotides) under Massalongia griseolobulata. RNAcentral describes it as "SSU rRNA". It matches the Rfam family "Bacterial small subunit ribosomal RNA", at positions 359 to 1222 of the family's 1533-position model. Lineage: Eukaryota; Fungi; Ascomycota; Lecanoromycetes; Peltigerales; Massalongiaceae. The record is from RNAcentral.